This is a long non-coding RNA of Argiope bruennichi, 1245 nucleotides long. RefSeq lists it as uncharacterized. The record is from RefSeq and is a predicted model, not a curated record. The transcript has 3 exons. NCBI's taxonomy places the organism in Eukaryota, Metazoa, Arthropoda, Arachnida, Araneae, Araneidae.
AAGAAUUUAACUUGAUACUAUUUUUUUUAACCAUUUAUUAGUUUUUAUAAAAUGUCUGGAUAUUAAUUUUGUCUCAUUUUGGUCUUAAAUGUUACGUCGGAGCUUUGAUGUUUUUAUGAAAAGCAAUUUUGGAUCUAAACUGCUAUGAAUUAUCGCCUAGAUUCUUCUGUGAUUCAAAUAGAAAUGUCAAGCGCCAACUCAUUAAAAAGAUAUAAUAUCUUAAAAGAAAGAUAAAUCAGAAUAAGAAGUGACAUUUUGUGCCUUUUUAUUUAACCCUGUUAAAGCUAUGGAAUGUGCCUGGAAUUAAAGCUUUGCUGCCAUCGUUGUCGAAGAAAAAUGAAAUUAUUGAAAGUUGUCAAUCCAGAGUUCAGUACCCAAAUCGUAGUUUCUUCAUUGUCGCAGAAAAUGAAAUUCUUGCAAGCUGUUAAUUGGGAAUCCAACAUCGUAAUUGAUUCAUUGUCGCAGGCGAUGGAAAUUCUUGCAAGUGGGUAGUCGAGAAUCCGACAUCUUAAUUGCUUCGAAGAAAAAAAAUCAACAUUUCCAAGAAAUCUGCAGUGUACAUUUAUCGAUGAUAGAGCAAAAAAUUUUCUUUUGUUCAUACCUCUGUCACACGGGAUUACAUUUGGUAAGUUUAUAUAAUAUUGGCAUUUUUCGACUCUCGAAGACUAUUUGUGUAGAAUAUUUAGAGACUAGAAAUACCUCAUCUUCCGCAUUAAUUCGGAAUAUUAGAAGUUCAGAUUCUAACGCAUUCUAAAACUUUGGAAUAUUUCGAAGCAUUUUGAAGGGGAGAAUCGUGUUAAGUAGGAAAGUUAAGGAAGUAGUUAAGGAAGAAAUACUAAAUCUUAUAGUAUUAGUGCACCUGCAAUAAGAAUUGAAAUCCCUUGUUAAAAAAAAAUUCAGGAUAUCUCGGAUAUGGUUACCUAACUGAACUGCUAUAGUGAAUUUACCAAAAUACGUUUUCAAAAUCUACGGUCAUAGUUCUAAUUGGAUGUCGCUGCUAGUUUUUAGACCGAUGGUUUUAAUAAUCAGUUUAUAUACUACCUAUUGUCCAAACUGUUGCAUUUAUCAGAUAUAAUUUCAUCUCGACCUAAUCUUAAAGCAUAUUAAAUGCUCUAAUAGAUAUAUUGCUAUAGGAUAUUUUGUCUUAAAUUUUUCAAUUUUAUUACCAAUGCUGUACAUAAUCGAAAUUAGAUGCAUUCCUUCAACGGAUGUCGUAAUUCGAACUGCAGUAUCUGAAUUGCGGUA